UACGUAGGGGGCAAGCGUUGUCCGGAAUCACUGGGCGUAAAGCGCGCGCAGGCGGUCAUCUACGUCUGGGGUGAAAGCCCGGAGCUCAACUCCGGGAUUGCCUUGGAUACGGGAUGACUUGAGGAUCGGAGAGGCAAGGGGAAUUCCACGUGUAGCGGUGAAAUGCGUAGAGAUCAGGAAGAACACCCGUGGCGCAAGCGGCCACCUGGCCAAGAGCUGACGCUGAGGCACGAGAGCGUGGGGAGCGAACCGG
RNAcentral lists this ribosomal RNA (253 nucleotides) under uncultured bacterium. RNAcentral's name for it is "partial 16S ribosomal RNA". It matches the Rfam family "Bacterial small subunit ribosomal RNA", at positions 524 to 776 of the family's 1533-position model. The record is from RNAcentral.